Molecule: unclassified non-coding RNA, 259 nt
Filed under: Hevea brasiliensis (rubber tree)
Lineage: Eukaryota; Viridiplantae; Streptophyta; Magnoliopsida; Malpighiales; Euphorbiaceae
Source: RNAcentral
AACAUGAUAUCAAUCUUUUAUCAACAUAAACAAUACAUGUUCAUUAUCGACAAGUAUAUACUAUAGUUUGCAUUUGGAAUUCUCUCCAGUCAGAUAUUUGAUAAACACCUCUUUCAUAAAGGGUAUAGUCGGCAGCUUCACAGAGGCCUGGAGUUUUCUCAACAGUUAUUGUAUGUCCCGGAAACAGGCCAAAGAGCUGAGACACGUGUCGAUGAUGAAUAUCUGGUCCUCAAAAUCCUGAGCCUGCCAAAAAUAGAUA